UCAAAACCAAAUAAAAACAUGGCACCACACCUUAAUAUUGUUCCUUCCAUGUUUGUGCUUUUCUUAUUAUUCAUUUCAGCCUCUAAAGUUCAAUCAGACGUUAUUGAUGUUGUUGCCAAGUUUGGCACAAAAGCUGACGGGAAAACGGAUUUGAGCAAAGCAAGUUAAAUUGCUCUUAACUUUGUACCCAAAGGUGAAAAUAUGAAAAAAAAAUUAUAUUUCAAACUGAUGUCUUUAUUCAUUUCAUUUUAGUCAUUUUUGGAUGCUUGGAAAGAAGCAUGUGCCUCUGUAACCCCAUCAACUGUUGUGAUUCCUAAAGGGACAUAUUUAUUAUCAAAAGUAAACUUAAAAGUUCCAUGCAAGGCUCCUAUUGAGAUUAAGUUCAGGGCACUGUACAGGCUCCAGCUGAUCCUAAUGCUUUCAAGGACCCUAAUUGGGUUAGAUUCUAUAGUAUUGAAAAUUUCAAAAUGUCUGGCGGAGGAAUUUUUGAUGGUCAGGGAAGCAUUGCUUAUGAGAAGAAUAAAGAUCCCGACAAUCGUGAAUUUCGUUCCAAACUUCUUGCUGUCAGCUUUGUUUCUUCUUGCCAAAAUUUAUUUAUUCUCUUUCCUCUUAUUAUUAUCAAAAUAUAAUUAUAACUAACAUCUUUGUUUCGUGUGUUACUUUGUUAACUCCAAAAUUAAACAGAAUAUAAGGUUUGACUUUGUGACCAAUACAUUGAUACAUGAUAUAACUAGCAAAGACAGUAAACUAUUCCAUGGUAAUGUUUACCCUCGAACGUUUCAAGGUAGAGGCACCAGUAGAUAGACCAAACACAUAUGCGAUUCACAUGGGCAAAUCAGACGGGGUAAAUAUUAUUGGCUAUGACAUUAAAAUUGGUGAUGAUUGUAUUUCUAUCGGAGAUGGCACUAAAACUCUAGACAUAAAAGAAAUAACUUGUGGACCAGGACAUGGUAUAAGAUCGUAGUCUUGGAAAGUUCCCAAAUGAAGAGCCAGUUGAGGGAGUUAAAGUCUCAAACUGCACCAACACUAAUACUUCGAAUGGAGCUCGAAUCAAAACUUGGGCAGGUGAAUCUCCUGGGAUAGUGUCAGAUAUACAUUUUGAGGAUAUUAUACUGAAUAAUGUCUCUUCCCCUAUCUCUGAAGAGAGGGUACUGAAGCCCAUACAUAUUCCUACUAGAGAAUUAUGUGUAUUCUCUCUUAAAAUGUUAUUAUAUUUUUUCUUCUUCUUGUUCGACCAAGACUGUUAAGAUUUUUCUAUAAAUAGAGACCAUAGGCUAGGUCAACCACACACGAUGAGAAGCAUCGACAUUGUAAAACAUUAGUGAGAUUUCGGUCAAAAAAAAUUCUAAAUAUGAAUGUUUACAUUUUUAGUUUUUGUCCCAUAAAGGGUUAACAAUAUUCGCCACUCCAACAUCAAUAGAAAGUUUUCAUAGCUUUCAUCCGUUCAUGGAUUAGAGCCUACGCUUUAACUAGCCGAGGUUUUUGAAUAGUUGAUAAGAUCGUGUUCGUAGAAUAUUGAGAAACAACUUAGACCACCUAAUCCAGAGCACAAGUAAGAUUUUGGUAAAAGGGUUUGUCCCUAUAAAUAUGACAACUUCUUGGGUUUAGAAAUUUUUAAUUUUUUUGUUGUUCAAAAAAAUCAUUUUCUAAACGAAUGUUUCCAACACAAUCAAGAAUGAUCUCUAAUUUCUAAAUUGAAUAGGUCAGUAAUAAUUACUUGGUCUUUAUAGUCCACAGCCAAAACUAGCGCUUUUCUAAUCUCCCAAGCUUCUUCGACAAACUUGCACAACGUCUUUCUUCUCGAACGUUCGACUCUAUUAGGGAUAAUGACAUGACACCAUUUUAUGUUUAAUUAUUACAUAUAAAAAAUUGAACACCAAAAAGGAGAAUGAGAGAAAAUUUUGUGGAACUCUAUAAAGAUUUUUAGAAAGGAACGAUAUUUACAUCGAGAUUAAGUGUAGUGUUUGGGUAUCUUGCGAUUAUCACUUAAAGAUCCCUAAAUUUGUUGAUGUGAUCUGUAGUUUUUGCUUUUAGGUUCUCAAAGGUUAGUCUCUUUUUCUUAUUUUUGUGUGUUUGGCUUGAAACUUUUUUUUUCAUGGUUUCUUUUCUGAUUCGGGGUUCAUGUUGGAAAUGCAUUUAGAAAAGUAGCUAGGGUAGGAACAUUACAGUUUUAAUUUCUAUAGUAAAAUGGGCAUUUAUCGUGACAUCUAAAGUAAUAAAUUUGAUCAAAUUAAAAUGUUAUGGUCCAAGGCUUAGGGGAUGUCCAAGUCGCAAGGAAAGUUUGGGAGAUGCCUUCAUUGUCUUGAUCAAUUCAAAUAGCAGUCCAAUAUCUUCAACCUUUCUACUGAACGAUUUUCUUCCCUAUUCUUGAACACUCAGGUGCUUGGAAAGUGGGAUGUAACUGAAAAAGUAAAGCACAAGAUGUGACUCGAGACUUCUCAAGCAGCUAUGCAUCUAGCUCUUUGCGUCCUAUCCAAAACUGAAAAGAAGACGUAAACCGAGACUAAUUAAGGAGGUAUGUCAGCUACCUCUUUGUGUUCUACCCAAUCGAAAACAACUCCUAUAAUUCAAUUAUUCUCUUUAGAAGAAUGUCAUUAUAAUCUUGAAAAUCUAAAUUACAAAGUCUAAAACGAUAGAAUUGAUUUGAGUUGAAAGAAAAUAGAAUCUAACUAAUAUUUCAAUAAAUUUCAACAAAUUGUCCUUGGUUUUUUUUUUACAUAAAUUGGGUAUUGAUAAAGAAACAUAUGCAAGAGUUUUAUUUGUAUCCGAUGUACAUAAAAUAAAUAAUAUAGAAGAACUAAAGUCCAACUAGGACAUUUUUAACCCCAUGGCCAGCGACUCCAAGAGAUAAUUCUCUUUGUGUGUGGAGGCACACUUACCAUAGUGGUUUGUUCUCCAGUUUAAUUAUACGAGCUUACCUCUCUUGAAUUAAAUAAGAAAUCAAGACCAUAUGAUUAUCUAAGCCAAUAGCAUAUAUUCUUCCAUGAAUUAAGUUUUUUGAAAUUAAUUGUUUCAUUAAAUUAAAUUAUUUCCACUACUUAAUUUAAUCCUCACUUUGGACUUAUUUAUUUAAUUUAUUCAUUGAAUUAAAUAACAAACCGACGGAAUUAAAUUAAUUCCGUGUCAUCUUUUCCAUUCUCAUGAAAUCGCAUUUACAUGGAAUAGUAAUUCAUUCCAUCUAAUUCUAAUAUAUCAUUUUCAUCCAUACAUUCAAUCAGUUCUUAUUAUGCAAUCUACUUAGAGUUAUAUUAAGCUAGCAGAGGGAUCGAUUGUACAUAAAUAAUUAGGGCUUAAAUAAAAUCUUAAUUAGAAUUUAUUUAGUUGUAGACUCAAUCUACUAAAAGUACCAUGAUCGAUCUCCCCAAUAUAUAAUGUUACGAAAGCUAAGCUUGUAAAGCUUUGUCCAUUUACCUUGUCAAAUGCAUGUUACUAUCAUAGAAUGCCGAUCAUCUAUUUAGGUUCAAUAUUUUCCCACUAAUUCGAUCCAUUUUAUCUCAGGGUCAGUUUGUAUCUUCUAGAAUGAGGGGUGAGGAUGAGGGUAAAGGUGAACGUGAGGAUUCAUAAAAGGAUGAUAAUGAAAGGGAUGGUGUUUGUGAUGAAAAGUCAUACCUUGUGAAAUUUGAUACGUGUUAGAUGGGGACGAAGAUAAGAAAUUACAAGAUGCUUGAGAGAAGUUGAAGAAAUUAAAAGAUAAAAGUAAAUCUAUUUGGAAAGAGAAGCCAAAUGCCCAUCAUGUUUUCACUAAUAAUUGUUACGUGGGUGAAGUUUAGGCUGAAGUCCAGGGCGAAUGUUAGCUCGACUAGGUAUUAUAGGGCCAGGAAAAUAGUGAUUGAGAAGAGUGCUAGAAACCACCAGAAUUGCUUUCGGCAAUAUGGUGUGAACCUUCGUCAACCACCAAACCACAUUACUGUAUCAACAAUUUUUAUUGAAUAAUUAGGAUUAUACUUUUCGAAAUAACAUUGAUAAAUUUAACGGAACAUAAUUAUAUUCGCCACCAUCUAGUAAAGAUAUUAUUUUGAAGAUAAAAUGUAAAAUAAUGCUUUUCAAUCUUUCCAUAAUAAAAUCCUUUCACAUAGUUUAAAUUAUUAAAGUUGUGAAAAAAGUUAACCACAAAACUAUCUAACCGUGCAAAGUUGAUAUUAAAGAAACAAGCUAAUCAUAGAUAUUGAAGCUUGGCCAUAUGACUUUUCCACAUUGAUUAAAUAGUAAUAUAUUUGAUUGGUUGUAAUUUUCUCAAAAUUUCUAUAUAUUUGGAAAAAAAACAAAAGGAAAAGCCAUUCUUCGUGUAAUUUCAAAACCAAAUAAAAACAUGGCACCACACCUUAAUAUUGUUCCUUCCAUGUUUGUGCUUUUAUUAUUAUUCAUUUCAGCCUCUAAAGUUCAAUCAGGCGCUAUUGAUGUUGUUGCCAAGUUUGGCGCAAAAGCUGACGGGAAAACGAAUUUGAGUAAGGCAAGUUGAAUUGCUCUUAACUUUGUACCCAAAGGUGAAAAUAUGAAAAAAAUUAUAUUUCAAACUGAUGUCUUUAUUCAUUUCAUUUUCGCCAUUUUUGGAUGCUUGGAAAGAAGCAUGUGCCUCUGUAACCCCAUCAACAGUUGUGAUUCCUAAAGGGACAUAUCUAUUAUCAAAAGUAAACUUAAAAGGUCCAUGCAAGGCUCCUAUUGAGAUUAAUGUUCAGGGCACUAUAAAGUCUCCGGCUGAUCCUAGUGCUUUCAAGGACCCUAAUGUUGGAACAUUUUCAAAUAUUUAUAGUAUCCCAAUAACUAUAAAUGAAUGGGUGUAAUUAAUCAAAAGAUAAAUCUUUUGGUCAU
RNAcentral lists this long non-coding RNA (4809 nucleotides) under Gossypium barbadense (sea-island cotton). RNAcentral's name for it is "long non-coding RNA (GBAR_LNC019048)". The record is from RNAcentral. Lineage: Eukaryota; Viridiplantae; Streptophyta; Magnoliopsida; Malvales; Malvaceae.